UACGGGGGGGGGCAAGCGUUGUUCGGAAUUACUGGGCGUAAAGGGCGCGUAGGCGGCCUGCUAAGUCGGACGUGAAAUCCCCCGGCUCAACCGGGGAACUGCGUCCGAUACUGGUGGGCUCGAAUCCGGGAGAGGGAUGUGGAAUUCCAGGUGUAGCGGUGAAAUGCGUAGAUAUCUGGAGGAACACCGGUGGCGAAGGCGGCAUCCUGGACCGGCAUUGACGCUGAGGCGCGAAAGCCAGGGGAGCCAAACGGG
Molecule: ribosomal RNA, 255 nt
Filed under: uncultured bacterium
Lineage: Bacteria
Description: partial 16S ribosomal RNA
Rfam family: Bacterial small subunit ribosomal RNA
Source: RNAcentral